This 1745-nucleotide long non-coding RNA is filed under the name Phaseolus vulgaris (common bean). RNAcentral's name for it is "long non-coding RNA (PVUL_LNC003392)". The record is from RNAcentral. Lineage: Eukaryota; Viridiplantae; Streptophyta; Magnoliopsida; Fabales; Fabaceae.
ACAGAAAUUCGGUGAUGGGACGACCAAUCCUGAUGAGCACAUGGAUGCGAAUACCAGUUUGUAUCUAUGCUUUUCCGAAUCACUUGUCGCUAAGCAGAGGAAAUUGUGAAAUUAAUCGGAUCUUGUUAGUGAGACGCUGAAACUUCUGAACUAAGAGAAGAAGAGUCGAUUUGAAGGAUUCUACUAGCUAUAGACAAUGCAAUUGCUUUGAGAAUCAAUCACCAUGUCCUGUUACUUAACUGUUUUUUUUUUUUAUUUGAUGCGUAUGUGGUUUCGUGAUUUAAAUUUUUACUUUUGUUAUUAUUUUCUCUAUAACUUUGUUCCUCUUACAUGUUGUGAUUGUUGUUUGGUUGUACGGUGCAGGUUUUUGACUUAGAUGUGAAGCCUCAUGAGUUUGUACAGUAUGGAUCGAGUUUUCUGGAGAUGUUGGCGGGCUUUGGUGAUUCAUGUGCCAAAGAAACUCGUGAAAGAAUAAGGGUAUGGUAUGUUGGUUCGAGAACUAGAACAUGCAUUACAAUUCAUUCUUAUGAUAUAAAUGAUUGUGUGUGAUUGCUUAAGUUGUGAAGGCUCCCGUAUUUGGUUUCUUUACGUUGUGCAUACUUGAUUUAAUAAAAAGGGGAAGUUAUUAUAAUUAGAAGAGGAUUUUUAUUCUAUUUUUCCCUCCUCCAUAAAACUGAAAUAGAUGAGGUAUGAUUGCCAAGUGGUUGGUUAUGCAGUUAUUUCUUUAAUUUCUAAGUUAAAAAUGUGAUUGAUUGAUCAUAAUUGGAAUUAUAGUACGUACUGCACACAAAUAUAAAACAUACCCCAGCAUAAAACAGAUUGCGAGGAUAUGAGAGAAGAGACUCCCUCCCAUCCCUUUACAACAUGAUGUAUGAACUCUUAGAAAUGUUGAGUUGAAUUUGGGUUUUAUACGGAGAUAUACUUUUAUUGAGUUCUCUUUGCUGGCUCACAUAUAUUAAAUUGGUAUAAUAUGUUUUUCAAUGUAGUUGGCAAGUUUCACUUGCAAUACCAGAAGGCACAUAUGUGAAGCUACCGCAUUGUUUGAAGCCUGUAGAAAAGUUCACUCUUUAUUAGGUUAUUGUCUGGUUUUAGCUCUGUAUAUGAAUUGGUUAGGGUUUUUUUCUUGAGCAUAGAGUAUGUGGCUUCCAAAUGCGCACAUCCUUCAUAUAUAGAAGGAAGAUUAGGCUAGCAGUAAUCUUUGGUUCCCAAAUGAUCAUCAUUCAUAUAUAGGUCUCAGAGGAUUAGGUUAGUAAUAAUAUUUUGUGAUGUUUCAGGUUUUUCCAGAAAUCACAGUUACUCACUCAAAUAAUGAAUAUCAAUUUUUGUGCACACGAUGACCCAUUGGUGCAUGAUUAUUCUAUAAAUUUUAAUCAAAAUAUACUUCUCUAUAACAUGUGCCCCAUUUUUGUUUACAAUUGGCCUUGUCAAGGCCUUUUUAGAGUGUCACUCUGAUUAAACUUAAUUCUUUACAUAAAUGGUUGUUUCUUGUACACUCAACUUGCUAUUAAGUGUAAAUUUGGAAAAGACUACAAAGUAUUUGAUUCAGCAUGCAACUUUUCACAAAUUGUUUUCUCAAUUCUUGUUGUCCAAUUGUAAUAUGCAAUCUUUUGUGUCUGCUCUUUGCAGGGCUUUGAAAUUGAGGGAGAACUACCAGAGAAAGUUACAAGUUAUGAAGGCGUGUACUAUAAUUACUUCAUCACAUAUACUUGAAUCUGUACAUCAGUGGUGUUAUAUUGGUGCCUAAA